Molecule: RNA transcript, 4486 nt
Organism: Camarhynchus parvulus
Lineage: Eukaryota; Metazoa; Chordata; Aves; Passeriformes; Thraupidae
Gene: RGS7
Gene name: regulator of G protein signaling 7
Exons: 17
Source: RefSeq, a predicted model, not a curated record
GCUGAGCUGCCGCCGCUCCGGCAGAGCACGGCAGAGCCGCAGCCUCGGCGGCGGCGGCAGCGGCAGCAGCGCCUCCGCCCGCAGUGCGUGUGUGUGCGUGUGUGUGAUGAGCGAUCGCCGCGUCCCUCCGCCCGCUGCCGGCUGACACCCACCGCGCGGGGCGCGCCAGGAGCCGCAGGAGCAGCCGAGGAGCCGCGGCCAGCGCGCAGUGACCUUGGCCCAGAGUGCAGCAUCCAAAAGCGGAUCAAAUUUGUGGGACAUGGCGCAAGGAAAUAAUUAUGGGCAAAGCAGCAAUGGGGUGGCUGAUGAAUCCCCAAACAUGCUGGUGUACAGAAAGAUGGAAGAUGUCAUAGCCCGCAUGCAAGAUGAGAAAAAUGGGAUUCCUAUUCGGACAGUGAAAAGUUUUCUUUCCAAGAUUCCCAGUGUCUUUUCUGGUUCAGAUAUUGUUCAAUGGUUAACGAAGAACUUAUCAAUAGAAGACCCAGUUGAAGCUCUGCAUUUGGGAACUCUGAUGGCAGCACAUGGCUAUUUCUUCCCAAUUUCAGACCAUGUUCUAACACUGAAGGAUGAUGGCACCUUUUAUCGAUUCCAGACACCCUAUUUUUGGCCAUCAAAUUGUUGGGAGACGGAAAACACAGACUAUGCUGUUUACCUCUGCAAGCGGACAAUGCAAAACAAAGCAAGGCUAGAACUAGCAGACUAUGAAGCUGAGAGUUUGGCCAGGCUACAGCGAGCUUUUGCUCGGAAAUGGGAGUUUAUUUUUAUGCAAGCUGAAGCACAAGCAAAGGUUGACAAGAAGAGAGACAAGAUAGAGAGGAAGAUUCUCGACAGUCAGGAGCGAGCAUUUUGGGAUGUGCACCGUCCGGUGCCUGGCUGUGUAAACACUACUGAAGUGGAUAUAAAAAAAUCUUCAAGAAUGAGAAAUCCACAUAAAACAAGAAAGUCUGUCUAUGGCUUACAAAAUGACAUUCGAAGUCACAGCCCUACGCACACGCCAGUGCCAGAGACUAAGCCACCCACAGAAGAUGAACUACACCAAGAGAUUAAGCACUGGCAAAUGCAAUUAGACAGACAUAGAUUAAAAAUGUCAAAAGUUGCAGAGAGUCUAUUAGCUUAUACAGAGCAGUAUUUGGAAUAUGAUCCUUUUCUUGUGCCCCCUGAUCCCUCAAACCCUUGGAUAUCAGAUGACACCACUUUCUGGGAACUGGAGGCAAGCAAAGAGCCAGGACAGCAGAGGGUGAAACGAUGGGGAUUUGGCAUGGAUGAAGCUUUGAAAGACCCUGUGGGAAGAGAGCAGUUUCUGAAAUUCUUGGAGUCAGAAUUCAGUUCAGAAAAUUUGAGGUUCUGGUUAGCAGUAGAAGACCUGAAGAAGAGGCCAAUCCGUGAAGUUCCUGCUCGCGUCCAAGAAAUCUGGCAAGAAUUUCUUGCUCCAGGUGCACCCAGCGCCAUCAACCUAGAUUCAAAAAGUUAUGACAAAACCACUCAGAAUGUGAAGGAACCUGGAAGAUACACAUUUGAAGAUGCUCAGGAGCACAUUUACAAACUGAUGAAAAGUGAUUCUUAUCCUCGUUUUAUACGAUCCAGUGCCUACCAGGAGCUGCUACAGGCCAAGAAAAAGGUAUUGGUCCAUCUUGCCUUUGUCUUGCCACUGUGCAAAGCAGUGGUUAUGUUUGCAACAAUACUCAGUCUUCUCUCCCCUGUGCCAGUGCAACUGGAUAUCUGGUAGGUGACCAGCUUGGCGUUUUUGGAGGGUCACAUACACACAGGAGUUCAAUAUACAUAUAUGUGUAUAUAUCCUGCAUGCGGGCAUGUUUCAAUAAGUUAAUCUAGCAAAAAUUAUUUUUAUUUUUACAUCCCAUAUUGUACUGUUUUCUCUGUUAUGAAGCACCUUAAAUUGCAAAGUGCUUUACAAAUACAUUAAAAAAAAUAAAAUAAAAUCCCAGAAGAAUAGUCUUUCAUGUUUGCAAGUUUGCUUAUGUAAUAAUUGUUGUUCUCUUUAUUCCACCUAUGAAAGCUCCAGAAUGUGUUUAGAAACAAUCUUAUUCAUAUGAAUAACUUCUAACUUCAACUAUAAAUAUAGGGGCUUCCCAAUUUUGUUUCUGUCCCUAUUACUACAUGAAUAGUUUUGAGUAGGCUAGGAAUCUGACUUGAAAGACUGAUCAUAUCACACUUUCGCAAACAGAGGUUCAUGUCUUGGUAUGUAAUAUUUUCUUAGAAAAGUCCAGUUAUAGAAUGGGUUCUGAAUAGCCACAGCCCAGGGUAUGUGGAGCAGCUUGUACAAUGCAGAUUUCCAUGAUGAUAAAUAAUUCUAUUAGUGGGCUCUAAACAGUAAUCUCCUAGAAUCAGCUGGGAGCCCUGUGCCUUGCAAAAUCGGGGCCCCGAUUGUUACUGGACCAAGGUAGUUACUAACACCGAAGCAUUCUAUUGUUAAUAAUGACAACCUAAAAUUAUAUGAAAGUACUGUGUGAUUUUGUUUUUUGUUCAAACGUUGAUUUCUGAAGAUCCAAUAUAGAGAGAGAUGUUGAAAAUACCAGAAAGCUUCAACUGUCCGUGUGAAGUCCUUAAGUUUGUGAAUGUCAGUUCAUUAACACGAGAUGUGCACUUCAUUAUUUCUUUUUACUUUCAGUUUUUCUUUAAAUUCAAACCAGUUUGAUCCCCAUGAAAAAUUACUUUUGUCUAGCGCUGUAUCUGUUUUGCCCAUCUCCUGUUUUGCCAAGUCCCAUUACAGCCUCACACCUGUGUUUGCUUCCUGAUUUAUACAAACUUUGUUUUGCAGUCCAUUGUUACAUCAAACCUCCUUUUCUACUCCAUUGUUCUUGCUUUUCUUUUCCCCCUCCUUUUUCUUUUUGUUUCUUUUGUUUUAUUUAUUUCAAAUUUAAGUUGGAAAACACUCUGGAUCGUCGAACAUCUUUUGAGAAAUUCACACGCAAUGUGGUAAGUUUGUUGCCUCGGAAGACUAGUAAGCCUGAUGGGACAUCCUUCUUCCCUUCCCCUCACUGAUCCCUACUUUCCCUUUUGCUUCUCUAACUUGGUGGUUAAAAGUGUAUUCAUCACAGCUUGUGAAUUUUCCUGGGAAUGACAGCUUUAUAAUGUGCUUUCAUUACAACCCCUCCUCCCUAGUCCCUUUCCCACUGAUCUCAGUAGUCACACAUGGAGGAAUGGACCUUUGGGAGCCAUGCUUUUUGCAUUAGGAAGCAUGAAACUAGUCACUUUUUUCCCCCCUAUAACUUCAGUAAAGAAUCUGUGAAAACAUGCUUGAUGUUGUUUCUUUUUCUGGUGCCUUCUAAAAUACUAAGUCUAAAACAGUUGAAUAUAUUGGAUUUGCAUCCUGUCUUCUUUUUAUUUUACUUAAAAAAAAUUUGUCCCUGUUUUUUCAAUUGGGCACAGGGAAAAACAAACAAUAUUAAUUUUCCCAUCUUCCUUAAUGUCUAACAGCUUCUACAGGACCACAGUAUUCGUGCUGUUUAUGUACAAGGGUUUGAUUUGGAUUCAUUUUCAUAAUGGAGUAAAAGAACUGAUUUUUUUUCUUUUCAAUGUAUAACUUUCAAAAGCUAUUUCUCAAAGGCAAAAAAAAUGAAGGCUGGUAGAUUUUGUCUGGGCAUUCUUUUGCCACCUGCCAGAAGAUCCACUAAUUUCAUGAUACUUAGGAUUCUUUUUACUUAUCCAGUUUCUUUGGGAUUUUUUUUCCUUUUACAUUGUGAAAGUUCCAACUAAAGAAUUCAACGCAUUUAUUUUUGUAGGGCAGAAACAUCCCUAUUUUUCCAUGCCAUAAAAACUGUACACCAACACUGAGGGCGAGCACUAACCUGUUAUGAAAAGAGGGGAAAUCGCUCACAUCAAAGAGGUUAACCAGUCUAGUGCAGUCCUACUAAAAGGAUCACCUUGUAGCAUGGAAGCAGACUCAAAUCAUUAUACAUACUUUGUAGCUCACUGAUUGCCUGACUCAGAGGACAGUAGAACAAGAUGUUGCAUGAGCAAGGACCUGACUUGUUUUCUUUUGUGUAUACUAAGGCAUUACAGACUCCGAGGGACUCUCUAGCCUUUCGAUGCCUCCAUUUCGAAAACUGUCUGCUCACUUCCUCCUUCAUAUCAAGCUGGAUCUGUGUCUUUUUAUUUUCUGCAAGCUCAAGUACAGUGAAAAAAAAGCUUCUGCUAGGCACAGUUUAUUAAAAAAAUACGUCAAUCAAAAACUGGAAGAAAUGUAAAAAAUGCAUAUAUUAAUAAAUAUACAUAUGGCAUCACAUUUAUUGCACAAUAAAUUAGCACAGAAGGUUUCAUUUCACUGAUGUAUUCACAUUGAGAAAGAAAGCCUGUGUCUUUGUCUGUUGUCUGUAUAUUCUCUGUUAAUGUUUCUUGCAUUUAUUUUUAUACCAUAUUUAAAAAAAGAACACCUUUUACUCCAGAUGUAUUAAAGUUGAUCCUUUCUCUGUAAAUUUGUGUAUGUUUAUAUUGUUGUUUUAUCUUUCAUUAAAAGAUGCAGAAUCUC